UACGUAGGGUGCAAGCGUUAAUCGGAAUUACUGGGCGUAAAGCGUGCGCAGGCGGUUGUGUAAGACAGAUGUGAAAUGCCCGGGCUUAACCUGGGAACUGCAUUUGUGACUGCACGGCUAGAAUCUGGCAGAGGGGGGUAGAAUUCCACGUGUAGCAGUGAAAUGCGUAGAGAUGUGGAGGAAUACCGAUGGCGAAGGCAGCCCCCUGGGCCAAGAUUGACGCUCAUGCACGAAAGCGUGGGGAGCAAACAGG
RNAcentral lists this ribosomal RNA (253 nucleotides) under uncultured bacterium. RNAcentral describes it as "partial 16S ribosomal RNA". It matches the Rfam family "Bacterial small subunit ribosomal RNA", at positions 524 to 776 of the family's 1533-position model. The record is from RNAcentral.